This 301-nucleotide ribosomal RNA is filed under the name uncultured bacterium. RNAcentral describes it as "partial 16S ribosomal RNA". It matches the Rfam family "Bacterial small subunit ribosomal RNA", at positions 509 to 807 of the family's 1533-position model. The record is from RNAcentral.
CAGUAGCCGCGGUAAUACGGAGGGUGCAAGCGUUAAUCGGAAUUACUGGGCGUAAAGCGCACGCAGGCGGUUUGUUAAGUCAGAUGUGAAAUCCCCGAGCUUAACUUGGGAACUGCAUUUGAAACUGGCAAGCUAGAGUCUUGUAGAGGGGGGUAGAAUUCCAGGUGUAGCGGUGAAAUGCGUAGAGAUCUGGAGGAAUACCGGUGGUGAAGGCGGCCCCCUGGACAAAGACUGACGCUCAGGUGCGAAAGCGUGGGGAGCAAACAGGAUUAGAUACCCGUGUAGUCCCUGUCUCUUAUAC